GACGAACGCUGGCGGCGUGCUUAACACAUGCAAGUCGAACGGAAAGGCCCUGCUUGCAGGGUGCUCGAGUGGCGAACGGGUGAGUAACACGUGGGUGAUCUGCCCCUUAUUUUGGGAUAAGCCUGGGAAACUGGGUCUAAUACUGGCUAGGACCAUGCUGUAGGUGGUGUGGUGGAAAGAUUAGUUUCGGUAAGGGAUGAGCUCGCGGCCUAUCAGCUUGUUGGUGGGGUAAUGGCCUACCAAGGCGUCGACGGGUAGCCGGCCUGAGUGGGUGGACGGCCACAUUGGGACUGAGAUACGGCCCAGAAUCCUACGGGAGGCAGCAGUGGGGGAUAGUGCACAGUGGGCGCAAGCCGGAUGCAGCGACGCCGCGUGGGGGAUGACGGCCUUCGGGUUGUAAACUCCUUUCAGCCAUGACGAAGCCCUUGUGGUGACGGUAGUGGUAGAAGAAGCACCGGCUAACUACGUG
Molecule: ribosomal RNA, 469 nt
Filed under: uncultured bacterium
Lineage: Bacteria
Description: partial 16S ribosomal RNA
Rfam family: Bacterial small subunit ribosomal RNA
Source: RNAcentral